CGUCGCGCUCGCGGAUGGGCGUCGCGUGGUCGCGGUCAUCGAUCGCGGAUGGUUCCGCUUCGUCUGCGACGC
RNAcentral lists this transfer RNA (72 nucleotides) under Caballeronia grimmiae. RNAcentral's name for it is "tRNA-Asp". Lineage: Bacteria; Pseudomonadati; Pseudomonadota; Betaproteobacteria; Burkholderiales; Burkholderiaceae. The record is from RNAcentral.